RNAcentral lists this ribosomal RNA (253 nucleotides) under uncultured bacterium. RNAcentral describes it as "partial 16S ribosomal RNA". It matches the Rfam family "Bacterial small subunit ribosomal RNA", at positions 524 to 776 of the family's 1533-position model. The record is from RNAcentral.
UACGUAGGGUGCGAGCGUUGUCCGGAAUCACUGGGCGUAAAGGGCGCGUAGGCGGACUCUUAAGUCGGGGGUGAAAGCCCAGGGCUCAACCCUGGAAUUGCCUUCGAUACUGAGAGUCUUGAGUUCGGAAGAGGUUGGUGGAACUGCGAGUGUAGAGGUGAAAUUCGUAGAUAUUGGGAAGAACACCAGUGGCGAAGGCGGCUCACUGGCCCGUAACUGACGCUGAGGUGCGAAAGCGUGGGGAGCAAACAGG